Brassica rapa (field mustard) is the source of this 219-nucleotide non-coding RNA. The record is from Rfam. Lineage: Eukaryota; Viridiplantae; Streptophyta; Magnoliopsida; Brassicales; Brassicaceae.
ACGACCUUACUUGAACAGGAUCUGUUCUAUAGGCUCGUACCUCUGUAUCCUUGAUUUCUAAGGAGACAGGCCCCUAAACCUGGUUGAUGAAUCAUGGCCGUGCGAUCUGAGUGUGAUUAACGGCUACGAUUCUCUCCUAUGAGUCUCUGCGCUGUAGAGGAUCGCUAUCCGGUUUGGCCUUGCCCUCUCCGGGGUGGUUGCACGGUUGUCUGACAGGCC